This 786-nucleotide ribosomal RNA is filed under the name Triticum aestivum (bread wheat). Its description in RNAcentral is "partial small subunit ribosomal RNA". The record is from RNAcentral. Lineage: Eukaryota; Viridiplantae; Streptophyta; Magnoliopsida; Poales; Poaceae.
AUGGAUGAGAAUUCGCCGAAGAAGAUCUGGGAGAAGCUGGAAAGUCAGUUUAUGUCCAAGACUGCAACGACUAAGGUGUAUCUGAAGCAAAAGUUGUAUGGGAUGAGGAUGCAGGAGGGGUCAGAUCUUGUGGAGUAUAUGAACGCCUUUAAUCAAGUCGUGACGGAUCUAGCACGCUUGGGUGCAACGUUUGACGACGAGGAUAGGGCAAUUCUGCUUCUUUGUUUGUUGCCAUCAUCCUAUGACCAUUUGAUCACUACUUUGACGCACGGCAAGGAGACCGUCAAGAAUGAGGAUAUUACUGCCGCAUUGCUAUCUUAUGAUAUGAGAAAAAAGAACGCGGUGGAAGUCUCUCAUGGUGAAGGUUUGCUAGUCAAGGGUCAGCAGUGGCGGAAGGGAUAUGAGGCAGGGAAGAACAAGAAAAAGAAUAUACGGUGUCACAAGUGUAAGCAGUGGGGACAUAUGAGAAAGGACUGUCCAGAACUCAAUAGUGGGGCAAGUGCUAAUAAGGCAACUUAUGGUGAUGACUCAGACAGCAGUAGUGAUGUUCUCAUAGUAUCAGACAGGCGGUCAACCGAAGGUGAAGCGUGGAUGUUGGAUUCAGCUUGCUCUUUUCAUGCGACACCCAACAGGGAGUGGUUCUCUUCGUACAAGUUUGGUGAGUUUGGUUUAGCCUAUGUGGGCGAUGACACAGGUUAUCGUGUUGCUGGAGUAGGUGACAUCAAAAUCAAGAUGUUUGACGGAGUUGAGUGGAUGCUUCGGGGAGUCAGGCAUGUCCAGGGCUAA